RNAcentral lists this ribosomal RNA (141 nucleotides) under uncultured bacterium. Its description in RNAcentral is "partial 16S ribosomal RNA". It matches the Rfam family "Bacterial small subunit ribosomal RNA", at positions 355 to 509 of the family's 1533-position model. The record is from RNAcentral.
UGGGGAAUAUUGGGCAAUGGGCGCAAGCCUGACCCAGCAACGCCGCGUGAAGGAAGAAGGCUUUCGGGUUGUAAACUUCUUUUCUUCAGGGACGAAGAAAGUGACGGUACCUGAGGAAUAAGCCACGGCUAACUACGUGCC